UACCGGCGCCUCAAGUGGUAGUCGAUUUUAUUGGGCCUAAAGCAUCCGUAGCCUGUUCUGUAAGUUUUCGGUUAAAUCCAUAAGCUCAACUUAUGGGCUGCCGAAAAUACUGCAGAACUAGGGAGUGGGAGAGGUAGACGGUACUCGGUAGGAAGGGGUAAAAUCCUUUGAUCUAUUGAUGACCACCUGUGGCGAAGGCGGUCUACCAGAACACGUUCGACGGUGAGGGAUGAAAGCUGGGGGAGCAAACCGG
This 253-nucleotide ribosomal RNA is filed under the name uncultured archaeon. Its description in RNAcentral is "partial 16S ribosomal RNA". It matches the Rfam family "Archaeal small subunit ribosomal RNA", at positions 474 to 727 of the family's 1478-position model. The record is from RNAcentral.